GGAUUCUCCUAGUAACGGCGAGUGAACGGAGAUUAGCCCAGCACCGAAGCCUAUCCGCAUUUGUGGACAGGGCAAUGUGGUGUUUAGAUGUGUGCCUGAGGUUACCUGUCUACUCGAAGUCCAGCAUAGAUUAUGGCUCUGGAUAUUACCCAAAGCGGGUGAAAGGCCCGUUCGAGUAGACUUAAUGCAUCAAGGUAGCCUUUAGAUGCGCAUAUCUUGGAGUCGGAAUGUUUGAGAAUGCAUUCCAAAGUGGGUGGUAAACUCCAUCCAAGGCUAAAUACUGGCACGAGUCCGAUAGUAAACAAGUACCGUGAGGGAAAGUUGAAAAGUACUCUGAAGAGAGAGUAAAAAGUACGUGAAACUGCUUGUAUAGAAGCUGGUGGAGUCAAGCUGCGAGCAUAUGGAAUUAAGCUGGUGGCCGGCUAGAGAUUCGAGCGAGGAUUGCUUAGUCUUCUUGGAGAGAGUUGCGCAGAUUCGUCUGUGUCAUGUUCAAUCUGGGUUGAAUGAGUGAGCUAUGCUUGUACUCGCUGCCGCCGGUGUAUUUUCUGUAUUGCUGACAUCAUGAUCGAUAUUGCUUUGGUAUGUGGUAGUUAAACUGUGUGAUAGUUGGUAUCUUACCUUCUGCAUGCAGGACGGCAGGUGGCUUACAUUCGGACUUGUCUGGAUGUGAGCUUAUUGAAGGUACGCCUGGCCGAUUACCACGUUAGUAUUGCAUUGACCAUAAACGAUAUCGGUGUGUUACGCGUCUCUUUGGCGUGUCUUGCGUAUCAUGACGGUGUGCAUUACUAUGCAAAUAGUGUGUAUGCCUGAACUGGUCGUGGGAUGCGUUUGAUAGGAUGUGUUGUUAAUCA
This 851-nucleotide ribosomal RNA is filed under the name Pseudomurraytrema fergusoni. RNAcentral describes it as "Diplectanidae sp. f EL-2022 partial large subunit ribosomal RNA". It matches the Rfam family "Eukaryotic large subunit ribosomal RNA", at positions 72 to 619 of the family's 3401-position model. The record is from RNAcentral. Lineage: Eukaryota; Metazoa; Platyhelminthes; Monogenea; Dactylogyridea; Diplectanidae.